AGUGAACGCUGGCGGUAGGCCUAACACAUGCCAGUCGAACGGCAGCACAGUAAGAGCUUGCUCUUACGGGUGGCGAGUGGCGGACGGGUGAGGAAUACAUCGGAAUCUACUUUUUCGUGGGGGAUAACGUAGGGAAACUUACGCUAAUACCGCAUACGACCUACGGGUGAAAGCAGGGGAUCUUCGGACCUUGCGCGAUUGAAUGAGCCGAUGUCGGAUUAGCUAGUUGGCGGGGUAAAGGCCCACCAAGGCGACGAUCCGUAGCUGGUCUGAGAGGAGGAUCAGCCACACUGGAACGGAGACACGGUCCAGACCCCUACGGGAGGGAGCAGUGGGGAAUAUUGGACAAUGGGCGAAAGCCUGAUCCAGCCAUACCGCGUGGGUGAAGAAGGCCUUCGGGUUGUAAAGCCCUUUUGUUGGGAAAGAAAAGCAGCAGGUUAAUACCCCGCUGUUCUGACGGUACCCAAAGAAUAAGCACCGGCUAACUUCGUG
This 492-nucleotide ribosomal RNA is filed under the name uncultured bacterium. Its description in RNAcentral is "partial 16S ribosomal RNA". It matches the Rfam family "Bacterial small subunit ribosomal RNA", at positions 29 to 507 of the family's 1533-position model. The record is from RNAcentral.